UACGUAGGGGGCGAGCGUUGUCCGGAAUGACUGGGCGUAAAGGGCGCGCAGGCGGCGUGCCUUGUCGGGCGUGAAAGCCCCCGGCUCAACCGGGGCGGGUCGCCCGAGACGGGCAGGCUGGAGGGUGGCAGAGGAGCGUGGAAUACCGGGUGGAGCAGUGAAAUGCGUAGAGACCCGGUGGAACACCGGCGGCGCAGGCGGCGCUCUGGGCCACCCCUGACGCUGAGGCGCGAAGGCCAGGGGAGCGAACGGG
RNAcentral lists this ribosomal RNA (253 nucleotides) under uncultured bacterium. Its description in RNAcentral is "partial 16S ribosomal RNA". It matches the Rfam family "Bacterial small subunit ribosomal RNA", at positions 524 to 776 of the family's 1533-position model. The record is from RNAcentral.